UACGGAAGGCAGCAGUGGGGAAUAUUGCACAAUGGGCGCAAGCCUGAUGCAGCCAUGCCGCGUGUAUGAAGAAGGCCUUCGGGUUGUAAAGUACUUUCAGCGGGGAGGAAGGCGAUGCGGUUAAUAACCGCGUCGAUUGACGUUACCCGCAGAAGAAGCACCGGCUAACUCCGUGCCAGCAGCCGCGGUAAUACGGAGGGUGCAAGCGUUAAUCGGAAUUACUGGGCGUAAAGCGCACGCAGGCGGUCUGUUAAGUCAGAUGUGAAAUCCCCGGGCUUAACCUGGGAACUGCAUUUUGAACUGGCAGGCUUGAGUCUUGUAGAGGGGGUAGAAUUCCAGGUGUAGCGGUGAAAUGCGUAGAGAUCUGGAGGAAUACCGGUGGCGAAGGCGGCCCCUGGGACAAAGACUGACGCUCAGGUGCGAAAGCGUGGGGAGCAAACAGGGAUUAGAUACC
This 454-nucleotide ribosomal RNA is filed under the name uncultured bacterium. Its description in RNAcentral is "bacterial SSU rRNA". It matches the Rfam family "Bacterial small subunit ribosomal RNA", at positions 340 to 786 of the family's 1533-position model. The record is from RNAcentral.